AUUGAACGCUGGCUGCAGGCCUAACACAUGCAAGUCGAACGAGUGGCGGACGGGUGAGUAAUGUCUGUGAAACUGCCCGAUGGAGGGGGAUAACUACUGGAAACGGUAGCUAAUACCGCAUACCAUCGGAUGUGCCCAGAUGGUAUUAGCUAGUAGGUGGGGUAACGGCUCACCUAGGCGACGAUCACUAGCUGGUCUGAUGGGAUGAAAUGCCAUAUGGGAACUGAGACAGGGUCCAGAAUCCGACGUGAUGCAGCAGUGGGGAAUAUUGCACAAUGGGCGCAAGCCUGAUGCAGCCAUGCCGCGUGUAUGAAGAAGGCCUUCGGGUUGUAAAGUACUUUCAGCGAGGAGGCGUUACUCGCAGAAGAAGCACCGGCUAACUCCGUGCCAGCAGCCGCGGUAAUAC
Molecule: ribosomal RNA, 406 nt
Filed under: uncultured bacterium
Lineage: Bacteria
Description: partial 16S ribosomal RNA
Rfam family: Bacterial small subunit ribosomal RNA
Source: RNAcentral